AGUGAACGCUGGCGGUAGGCCUAACACAUGCAAGUCGAACGGCAGCACAGUAAGAGCUUGCUCUUACGGGUGGCGAGUGGCGGACGGGUGAGGAAUACAUCGGAAUCUACUUUUUCGUGGGGGAUAACGUAGGGAAACUUACGCUAAUACCGCAUACGACCUACGGGUGAAAGCAGGGGAUCUUCGGACCUUGCGCGAUUGAAUGAGCCGAUGUCGGAUUAGCUAGUUGGCGGGGUAAAGGCCCACCAAGGCGACGAUCCGUAGCUGGUCUGAGAGGAUGAUCAGCCACACUGGAACUGAGACACGGUCCAGACUCCUACGGGAGGCAGCAGUGGGGAAUAUUGGACAAUGGGCGUAAGCCUGAGCCAGCCAUACCGCGUGGGUGAAGAAGGCCUUCGGGUUGUAAAGCCCUUUUGUUGGGAAAGAAAAGCAGCAGGUUAAUACCCCGCUGUUCUGACGGGACCCAAAGAAGAAACACCGGCUAACUUCGG
This 491-nucleotide ribosomal RNA is filed under the name uncultured bacterium. RNAcentral's name for it is "partial 16S ribosomal RNA". It matches the Rfam family "Bacterial small subunit ribosomal RNA", at positions 29 to 506 of the family's 1533-position model. The record is from RNAcentral.